UCGUAAGUAACAAAGAAAAGAGUUUCUCUCUCUUCGAAUCCACGCCCCUGUCCGUUGCUCUCUCCCGCACCGGUCCCAACAUCCAUCGCCACGCCCCGUUGCCAUCUCCCUUCGCUUGCAACCAGCAUUCAGCUCUUUCUUCCUCAGAUCUACACUCUCCAUUUCCAUCACUCUCAGGUGUCAAUUUGCUGGUUUACAAUCCAUUUUGUUACGAUCUCUGCCCGGUGCCCUUCGUUGAAUCUCGCGGGAGUCUUUCUGGAGGGUAGAGUAAAAUGGAUGGACCAACUGGUCGUGGCAGCGGCAUGGAUAUGAAUUUACCGAACUAUAAGCUUGGGAAAACCCUUGGCAUUGGUUCAUUUGGGAAAGUGAAAAUUGCAGAGCAUGCUUUAACUGGUCAUAAAGUUGCUAUUAAGAUACUUAACCGCCGGAAGAUAAAAAACUUGGACAUGGAAGAAAAAGUAAGGAGAGAGAUUAAAAUAUUGAGAUUGUUCAUGCAUCCUCACAUUAUACGGCUCUAUGAAGUCAUAGAGACCCCGACAGACAUUUAUGUUGUGAUGGAGUACGUAAAAUCUGGAGAGCUCUUUGAUUAUAUUGUAGAAAAGGGAAGGUUGCAGGAAGAUGAAGCCCGUAUUUUUUUCCAACAGAUAAUUUCUGGUGUGGAGUACUGCCACAGGAAUAUGGUGGUGCACAGAGAUCUUAAGCCUGAGAAUUUGCUUUUGGACUCCAAAUGUAAUGUGAAGAUUGCUGAUUUUGGUUUGAGCAAUAUAAUGCGUGAUGGUCACUUUCUGAAGACAAGUUGUGGGAGUCCCAAUUAUGCUGCUCCAGAGGUAAUCUCCGGGAAAUUAUAUGCUGGACCUGAAGUAGAUGUAUGGAGUUGUGGUGUUAUUUUGUAUGCGCUUCUAUGCGGCACUCUUCCUUUUGACGAUGAAAACAUUCCCAACCUGUUUAAGAAAAUAAAGGGUGGGAUCUAUACUCUUCCAAGUCAUUUAUCGUCAGGUGCUAGAGAAUUGAUUCCUAGUAUGCUGGUUGUUGACCCAAUGAAGCGCAUCACCAUCCCUGAGAUCCGACAGCACCCGUGGUUUCAGGCUCAUCUUCCACGCUAUUUAGCUGUGCCUCCACCUGAUACAAUGCAACAAGCCAAAAAGAUUGAUGAAGACAUUCUUCAGGAGGUUGUAAAGAUGGGAUUUGACAGGAAUCAGCUGGUGGAGUCUCUUCGUAACCGAAUUCAAAAUGAGGCUACAGUUGCUUAUUAUUUGUUGCUGGACAACCGCUUCCGUGUUUCUAGUGGUUAUCUUGGAGCUGAGUUUCAGGAGACUAUGGAAACAGGAUUCAACCGUAUGCACCCUGGUGAACCUACAAGUCCUGUUGUAGGACACCGUCAUCCUGGAUAUAUGGAUUACCAAGGAAUGGGAUUAAGAUCACAGUUUCCUGUUGAGAGAAAGUGGGCUCUGGGAUUACAGUCUCGCGCUCAUCCACGUGAAAUUAUGACCGAGGUUCUUAAAGCUCUACGUGAGCUCAAUGUGGCUUGGAAGAAGAUUGGGCACUACAAUAUGAAAUGUAGGUGGUUGCCUGGAAUUCCAGGCCAUCAUGAAGGCAUGAUCAACAGCCCUGUGCAUAGUAAUCAUUACUUCGGGGACGAGUCUACCAUCAUUGAAAACGAUGGCGUCGUUAAAUCGCCUAAUGUUAUCAAGUUUGAAGUUCAGCUCUACAAAACGCGGGAAGAGAAGUAUUUGCUUGAUCUACAGAGGGUUCAAGGCCCCCAGUUCCUUUUCCUGGAUCUUUGUGCUGCGUUCCUUGCACAGCUCCGAGUGCUCUAAAAACACAUAAUUUUAACUCAUGGGACGGUGAGCUUGUGAACCAAGAUUUCACAUGCAUAACUUAUCUAUCAUCUUACAGAAUCUUAGUUCUUACCCUCCCAGUUUAGAUGGAUAGUAGCUCAGUCUUGUGUAAAUCUGAUUUUCGGUAGUAGAAGUUGUCAGAUCUGGGCGUCCAAUAUUGAUUGUUGCUCUCAGCUGUCGGUGUUCUCUUCGUCGAGGUUCCCGAAAUCCUUUCGUCUUUGGUACGUCUCACCAAAACUCUUAACUGGGUAGUUCUCUCCAUCUUGUGACUGUUGAAAUGACAAAAAUCCUCUGUUGAAUUUUGAGGAAAGACCCAUGCAUUGAUUACAUUUAGAACGAUUAUCCGAGUAAGAUGCAAUAACAUAUCACAUAUCGUAUUUCGGGUAGAAUAUUAGUCUCAUAUUAAUUGGUUGCGACAUGCAAAGGUUCUUGCUCUCAAGUGCUAUUGAUCGAAAGAUCUUCGUCAAAUAUAGAGGAUUGUGGAGAUGAAUGAAAACUCAGAAAAAUAGGGGUGAUGAAGAAAGAGCACGAGUCACUGUUUCUAGAUGCCAAUAUAGUAAUUGAUAGUUCAUUCCUUGUUCUCGUUCUCGUUCUCGCUCAAUUGCCCUCAUUCCUUUUUGUGAUGGGAUUGCAUUUUCAUGACUUUCUACAAAUGGGUAAUCAUUUUAUUUCA
Cucurbita moschata (crookneck pumpkin) is the source of this 2511-nucleotide RNA transcript. It is a transcript of the gene named SNF1-related protein kinase catalytic subunit alpha KIN10, with no coding region annotated. The record is from RefSeq and is a predicted model, not a curated record. NCBI's taxonomy places the organism in Eukaryota, Viridiplantae, Streptophyta, Magnoliopsida, Cucurbitales, Cucurbitaceae. The transcript is spliced from 13 exons.